GUUUUUAUAAUUUAAUAUAAAAUAUUGGUCUUGUAAAUCAAAAAUAUGAUUAUUCAUUAAAAACA
RNAcentral lists this transfer RNA (65 nucleotides) under Nitidulidae sp. KM-2017. RNAcentral's name for it is "tRNA-Thr". It matches the Rfam family "tRNA". From Rfam's summary of the family: Transfer RNA (tRNA) molecules are approximately 80 nucleotides in length. Their secondary structure includes four short double-helical elements and three loops (D, anti-codon, and T loops). Lineage: Eukaryota; Metazoa; Arthropoda; Insecta; Coleoptera; Nitidulidae. The record is from RNAcentral.